RNAcentral lists this RNase P RNA (225 nucleotides) under Escherichia coli. Its description in RNAcentral is "partial RNase P RNA component class A". It matches the Rfam family "Bacterial RNase P class A", at positions 135 to 367 of the family's 367-position model. Rfam says of the family: Ribonuclease P (RNase P) is a ubiquitous endoribonuclease, found in archaea, bacteria and eukarya as well as chloroplasts and mitochondria. Its best characterised activity is the generation of mature 5'-ends of tRNAs by cleaving the 5'-leader elements of precursor-tRNAs. Lineage: Bacteria; Pseudomonadati; Pseudomonadota; Gammaproteobacteria; Enterobacterales; Enterobacteriaceae. The record is from RNAcentral.
CCGCGCAAGCGGGAUCAGGUAAGGGUGAAAGGGUGCGGUAAGAGCGCACCGCGCGGCUGGUAACAGUCCGUGGCACGGUAAACUCCACCCGGAGCAAGGCCAAAUAGGGGUUCAUAAGGUACGGCCCGUACUGAACCCGGGUAGGCUGCUUGAGCCAGUGAGCGAUUGCUGGCCUAGAUGAAUGACUGUCCACGACAGAACCCGGCUUAUCGGUCAGUUUCACCU